CUAUAAUGGAGAGUUUGAUUCUGGCUCAGAACGAACGCUGGCGGCGCGUCUUAAACAUGCAAGUCGAACGAUCUGUAGCAAUACAGGGAGUGGCGGACGGGUGAGGAACACGUAGGAAUCUACCUCGAAGAGCGGGACAACUUUGGGAAACCGGGGCUAAUACCGCAUAGUACAGAGAUGUUAAAGGGCUAGCAAUAGUCGCUUCGAGAUGAGCCUGCGGUCUAUCAGCUUGUUGGUGAGGUAAUGGCUCACCAAGGCUACGACGGAUAGCCGGUCUGAGAGGAUGAUCGGCCACACUGGCACUGAGACACGGGCCAGACUCCUACGGGAGGCAGCAGUUAAGAAUCUUGCGCAAUGGGGGCAACCCUGACGCAGCGACGCCGCGUGAAGGAUGAAGGCUUUCGGGUUGUAAACUUCGGUAGACUGGGAAGAAGAACUACGUUCGUUGAGGGCGUAGAGUGACGGUACCAGUCUGAAGCCCCGGCUAAUUACGUGCCAGCAGCCGCGGUAAUACGUAUGGGGCAAGCGUUGUUCGGAAUUAUUGGGCGUAAAGGGCUCGCAGGUGGUUUGUUAAGUUGGUGGUUUAAUCUCUGGGCUCAACCCAGAGUCAGCCUCCAAAACUGGCGAACUUGAGUACGAUAGGGGAUAGCGGAAUUCUCGGUGUAGCGGUGGAAUGCGUAGAUAUCGAGAGGAACACCAAUGGCGAAGGCAGCUAUCUGGAUCGUAACUGACACUCAUGAGCGAAAGUGCGGGGAGCAAACAGGAUUAGAUACCCUGGUAGUCCGCACCGUAAACGUUGUAUACUAGUUGUUGGUGGUUUCAACGCCAUCAGUGACGUCGCUAACGCAUUAAGUAUACCGCCUGGGGAGUAUGCUCGCAAGGGUGAAACUCAAAGAAAUUGACGGGGGCCCGCACAAGCGGUGGAGCAUGUGGUUUAAUUCGACGAUACGCGAGAAACCUUACCUGGGUUUGACAUGGAUUUGACUGGGGUAGAGAUACCCCUUCCCGCAAGGGCAGAUUCACAGGUGUUGCAUGGUCGUCGUCAGCUCGUGUUGUGAGAUGUUGGGUUAAGUCCCGCAACGAGCGCAACCCCUAUCUUCUGUUGCCAUCAUUAAGUUGGGCACUCUGAAGAAACCGCCGGUGACAAACCGGAGGAAGGUGGGGAUGACGUCAGAUCAGCAUGGCCCUUAUAUCCAGGGCUACACACGUGCUACAAUGGCCGGUACAGAGGGACGCAAUGCCGCGAGGUGGAGCAAAUCCCACAAAGCCGGUCUCAGUUCAGAUUGCAGUCUGCAACUCGACUGCAUGAAGUCGGAAUCGCUAGUAAUCGCAAAUCAGCAUGUUGCGGUGAAUACGUUCCCGGGCCUUGUACACACCGCCCGUCACACCACCCGAGUUGGAGGUACCCGAAGAGGCUGUUGCCAACCGCAAGGAGGCAGGUCGCUAAGGUAAAUUCGGCGAGGGGGGUGAAGUCGUAACAAGGUAGCCGUACCGGAAGGUGCGGCUGGAUCACCUCCUUA
This 1520-nucleotide ribosomal RNA is filed under the name Turneriella parva DSM 21527. RNAcentral describes it as "16S ribosomal RNA". It matches the Rfam family "Bacterial small subunit ribosomal RNA". The record is from RNAcentral. Lineage: Bacteria; Pseudomonadati; Spirochaetota; Leptospiria; Leptospirales; Leptospiraceae.